RNAcentral lists this ribosomal RNA (1056 nucleotides) under uncultured Aestuariibacter sp. Its description in RNAcentral is "bacterial SSU rRNA". It matches the Rfam family "Bacterial small subunit ribosomal RNA", at positions 379 to 1422 of the family's 1533-position model. The record is from RNAcentral. Lineage: Bacteria; Pseudomonadati; Pseudomonadota; Gammaproteobacteria; Alteromonadales; Alteromonadaceae.
AACCCUGAUGCAGCCAUGCCGCGUGUGUGAAGAAGGCCUUCGGGUUGUAAAGCACUUUCAGACGUGAGGAAGGGUUGAUGGUUAAUACCCGUCAACAUUGACGUUAGCGUCAGAAGAAGCACCGGCUAACUCCGUGCCAGCAGCCGCGGUAAUACGGAGGGUGCGAGCGUUAAUCGGAAUUACUGGGCGUAAAGCGCACGCAGGCGGUUUGUUAAGCUAGAAGUGAAAGCCCCGGGCUCAACCUGGGAAGGCCUUUUAGAACUGGCAAGCUAGAGUCUUGGAGAGGGGAGUGGAAUUCCAGGUGUAGCGGUGAAAUGCGUAGAUAUNCUGGAGGAACAUCAGUGGCGAAGGCGGCUCCCUGGCCAAAGACUGACGCUCAUGUGCGAAAGUGUGGGUAGCGAACAGGAUUAGAUACCCUGGUAGUCCACACCGUAAACGCUGUCUACCAGCUGUGUGUGAAUUUAAUUUGUGCGUAGCGAAGCAAACGCGCUAAGUAGACCGCCUGGGGAGUACGGCCGCAAGNGNNUUNANAAACUCANAAUGAAUUGACGGGGGCCCGCACAAGCGGUGGAGCAUGUGGUUUAAUUCGAUGCAACGCGAAGAACCUUACCUACUCUUGACAUCCAGAGAACUUUGCAGAGAUGCGAAGGUGCCUUCGGGAAUUCUGAGACAGGUGCUGCAUGGCUGUCGUCAGCUCGUGCCGUGAGAUGUUGGGUUAAGUCCCGCAACGAGCGCAACCCUUGUCCUUAGUUGCCAGCAUUAAGUUGGGCACUUUAAGGAGACUGCCGGUGACAAAGCGGAGGAAGGUGGGGACGACGUCAAGUCAUCAUGGCCCUUACGAGUAGGGCUACACACGUGCUACAAUGGUAAGUACAGAGGGAAGCGAAGCAGCGAUGUGGAGCGGACCCCUUAAAGCUUAUCGUAGUCCGGAUUGGAGUCUGCAACUCGACUCCAUGAAGUCGGAAUCGCUAGUAAUCGCAUGUCAGCAUACUGCGGUGAAUACGUUCCCGGGCCUUGUACACACCGCCCGUCACACCAUGGGAGUGGGAUGCAAAA